This is a long non-coding RNA of Ailuropoda melanoleuca (giant panda), 2800 nucleotides long. RefSeq lists it as uncharacterized. The record is from RefSeq and is a predicted model, not a curated record. NCBI's taxonomy places the organism in Eukaryota, Metazoa, Chordata, Mammalia, Carnivora, Ursidae. The transcript has 2 exons.
AGUAGAUCCAGAAGACACAGGUUCCUGGGAGAGGUGGCGGGGUGGCCUUGGCCUUCUACAGCACAGAGCUAUUCUUCACUUGGGAAGCUGCCCGGGUGGCCUGGGGAUGACCCCGUCCACUCCUACCACCUGUCACCUACCCUCUGUUGCUCACCUGCCAACCCUCUGUCCUAGUCCAUCCAUCAGCUCUCUCCAGUCAAGCACACACCUGCCGAGGCUCCCUCCAGGCCCCGGGCACCGCCUGAGGGCGCCCCUGCCGCUCCUUCCCAGGCAGCCCUCCAUCUCCACAAGCCCAGCUCCUGGCUCCUCACUCCCCUCCCUCACUCGCAAGGUCUCACUGUCCCCCCAGGGCUCUGUUGGCCCCGGUUUCCCGACGCACAUGCGGCACCUGGCUCAGGUGGGUGAGUGAGUAGGUCUGCAACAGACAUUUACUGAGCGCCAACGGUAUGCCAGACAUGGUUCCAAGGACACAGGACACAGGUGGUGGCGUCAACCCUCAGGAGACUGGCAGUCAAUGAAGGGGAGACAUGCUCGUGAAGCCAGCAGCGGAAGGGUGGGCUACGCUCCACCCCCAGGGCCAUUCCCGUUCCUGACCCCCACCGUCACCAGACCCCAGGGGCGGCCGCCACGCAGCUCUGCGUCUGCCCCUGCUCAGCGGGGCUCAUGCUCAUCAGCUCCACGGGAAACACGUGUCCACCCUCCGCCCACCUGUUGCUCGUGCUUCCUCACGGACCUUGUCCCACACGUGGCUCACCUUUACAAACCCUCUUUGCCGGACACAGAGACGCUCACCAGAGCAGAGGGCUGCCCUGGUGCCCCAGCUCCCUGCGACCCAGCACUUCACCUUGUUUCAUCCGUUUCCCCAAGCUUUUUCUUGGAGUGUUUUGUUUGAUUUGGGGGGGGGUGCGGGCCGAGAGAGAGAGAAUGCCAAGCAGACUCCGUGCCCAGUGUGGAGCCUGACGCGGGGCUCAAUCCCAGGACCCUGAGACCAUGACCUGAGCCAAAAUCAAGAGUCAGAUGCUUAGCCGAUUGUGUCUCCUAGGCGCCCCUUUCCUGGAGUGUCUUAAAGCAAAACUUGGCCCAUCUUACCCAUGAGCACUUCUGUUUAUUGAUCACUUUGUGCGAAAUGACCAGGGGUCACCUGAGCAUUUUUAAGGAAUGGGGUAUUGGAGCUGCCUGGGCUGAGAUGGUGGAGGGGCCUUGGAACCGGAAUGUACCCCACCUGGAGGGCCAGGUGAGGGUGUCGCCCCAUCAAGGACAUGAGGGGUGGGGCCAGUGGGGGUCGGGAAAGAGGGGCCAAGGGGGGCAGAGAGGGAGGGCUCCAUCCCAGGAGGUUGCAGGGGUGGACUGAGAGAGCAGGGCAUUCCAACCAGUGAGGAGACCCUCGGGGCAAGCCCUUGUGGGUGUCUGCCCAGCACCAGCCCCCUCUCCUUGGCCCCCUCGGCUUGAUUGACCAGCAGUGCUGGGCACCCUGCAUGGACCAGGGCUGCGGGCACAGAGGGGAGACCCGUGGGCAUGCAGACUGCAGGAAUCCUGAGUGCCGGAACUUUCCAUGAGGUCAGGGGUUGUGGGCAGUGUGCCCUGAGGACGCAUGGGGGUGACAUCUGCCUGUUCCCCAAUGUCAUCGUGCACACCGUCCUUCCCCCGACCUCUUCAGUGGAGGGUCCAGGUCUUGGCUUCUGACCCCAAAAGCCACCAAAUUUGAUGGGGCACCAGUGGCCCUCCUGCGGCCCUGACACAGCACCCCCGGCCAGUCAUCCUGAACAUGCCCACCGGAGCCAGAGCCGGGGACAGGGUAUGCACGGUUUAUCCUGCUAUACGAGUCCGCAGGCUGUCUGGCAACGCAUGCACAGGUCUGCAGUGUAGACGAGAGUGGUGGGUCAGGCUGGUUUUCUGACCUGGUCAUCGUGUGCGGUCAUGUCGGCAAACUCAUUUCUGGGAGGCUCACACUGACCCUUUUGGCAGUCGGCGCUGCGUGCUGUCCCUCACUGGAGCCACGGGUGCCCUGGAGAAUCCAUGUCCCAACCAGCUCCAGGGUUGGGGGCCAUGGCUACUGCUCACGGAGCAAACAACGACCCACCGUGUCAUCCUGGGGCUACGGGAUGAGCCAUUUCUGCGGCUCUAAUGUGCGUCUCAAUCAAAAAAAGAUGCCAGGCACUGAAGCUUCCAGAACCUGGCUUCUGCCUCAAAACCGUACCCUGACAUGCCAGGCACCAAGGAGCUGUGCGAGCCCUCGGUCCCUGAGAAGGUGCCCGUGGUUGGGACUGCAACCCCACGACAGCCCAGUGGGGCAGGGAGCCCCUCACAGGCUUGGGGGUCUGGGGACAUGAUGCAGGGCCGAGGACCGAGAGGGGAGGAGGUGUGUCAGCUUUAUUGGUCGUUGGUGCUUAGAAAUGUGUGGGCUCAGGCCCCCGAGGAGGGGCGGGGCACUGUCCCGUCACUGCUGGUGGAAGGCGUGUGCAGGGCCGGUGGCCAGCGGGGGCAGCAGUCCAACGUCCUGGGUCAGGAAGCACAGAUACCCCGGGGCCCCAGCAUGGGGCCUCGAAGCCCAGAUGCCCGUUGCGCUGGCAGAGGCAGGGGUCUCCUUGUCCUUCUAGAAACGUCCUGAGACCAAGGCCGACCGGAGCCCCCACUCCCAUUCUUGGGCUGCUGCGUGUCUGUGGCAGCCACGACCCUUCUCCACUUCUGUCUCCUGGGCCACGCUCCAGCGGGAGGGGCAGCCGAGGACGGAGCAGGGUCUGGGGUGGCCUAGCCACAGGCGGCUCGUCCCAGGACACAGUCUAGUGGAGCCUGCCUGGGC